AUGGCUAAACGAGGGCUUAACUGUCUCCCUUUUCAAGUCAGUGAAAUUGAUUUACCCGUGCAGAAGCGGGUAUAAAUAUACAAGACGAGAAGACCCUUUGGAGCUUAAGGUGUUAACCCAAUCGCGUCAAGCAACUUAUUAAAGAGCACAAACUUAGCGCACCAUGGAGUUUCACCUUCGGUUGGGGCGACCACGGAGGAAAAAGCAGCCUCCGAGUGGACCGGGAACAUAUCCUAGAGCCAAGAGGGACACCUCUAAGCCACAGAACAUCUGACCAAAUGUGAUCCGGACAUAAAGUCCGAUCAACGAACCAAGUUACCCUAGGGAUAACAGCGCAAUCCUCUCCCAGAGUCCAUAUCGACGAGGGGGUUUACGACCUCGAUGUUGGAUCAGGACAUCCUAAUGGUGCAGCCGCUAUUAAGGGUUC
RNAcentral lists this ribosomal RNA (427 nucleotides) under Moxostoma austrinum (Mexican redhorse). RNAcentral describes it as "partial 16S ribosomal RNA". It matches the Rfam family "Bacterial large subunit ribosomal RNA", at positions 1996 to 2574 of the family's 2925-position model. Lineage: Eukaryota; Metazoa; Chordata; Actinopteri; Cypriniformes; Catostomidae. The record is from RNAcentral.